UGUAGACGAGAGCCGAACACGAGCCGGCUUGUUAAAGUAUCGAGUCAAAAAAUUCAGCUCAUGUUCAGCAUGAGCUGGCUCACGAGCUGGCAAACGAAUAAUAAAUUAAAAGAAUUAGAUUGAAUAUAUAUAAAAAAUAAAUUUAUAAAAUUUUAUCCAUUAGAUUUUGAUCUAAUAGUUGAAAUUUUACAUAUAAAUAAGUUUUUUUUUUAUAAUUAAGCUCACCUUUAUAUUUUUAUUUUGCUAAAAAUUAAAUAAUAAAAAUAUAUAUUAUAUAUAUAAUUAUUUAUUUAUAUAUGUAAAUAUAAAUUAAAUAAGUUAUAUAAAUAUAAAAUAUAUGUAUUCGAGCUGUUAUCGAGCCGAACACGAGCGAGCUAAUCCUAGCUCGUGUUCGGCUCGUUUAUCAAACGAGCCAAAAAAUUCAGCUCAUGUUCAGCUCGAAAGAGAGAAAUGCAAUAGCUUAAUUCCUCUCAGUGUUGAUCUUUCAUCCUAGUCUACAAGUCUAUUCACGAUCUCCUCUCGAUGUCUGUCUCUUAUUUAACGACGCUUGCUUUCUAAACAAUGUUAUAUGAUAUCAACAGGUUUCUAUAAAAUUACCGACCGUCCCUAGAGUAAGUGGCAAAGGAUUUGGUGGUUGGUAUCCGAGACCUAAAUUCGAAUCCUAGUUGAUUCACAUUUCUAGUUAAAUUUAUUUCUAAAUAAAAUAAACGAAACAGAUAGCGUGCUACAUAUCUCUCAAAAAAAACAGUUUUUUAUAAAAUUGCU
RNAcentral lists this long non-coding RNA (765 nucleotides) under Ananas comosus (pineapple). Its description in RNAcentral is "long non-coding RNA (ACOM_LNC044775)". Lineage: Eukaryota; Viridiplantae; Streptophyta; Magnoliopsida; Poales; Bromeliaceae. The record is from RNAcentral.